Molecule: ribosomal RNA, 468 nt
Filed under: uncultured bacterium
Lineage: Bacteria
Description: partial 16S ribosomal RNA
Rfam family: Bacterial small subunit ribosomal RNA
Source: RNAcentral
GACGAACGCUGGCGGCGUGCUUAACACAUGCAAGUCGAACGGAAAGGCCCUGCUUUUGUGGGGUGCUCGAGUGGCGAACGGGUGAGUAACACGUGAGUAACCUGCCCUUGACUUUGGGAUAACUUCAGGAAACUGGGGCUAAUACCGGAUAGGAGCUCCUGCUGCAUGGUGGGGGUUGGAAAGUUUCGGCGGUUGGGGAUGGACUCGCGGCUUAUCAGCUUGUUGGUGGGGUAGUGGCUUACCAAGGCUUUGACGGGUAGCCGGCCUGAGAGGGUGACCGGCCACAUUGGGCCUGAGAUACGGCCCAGACUCCUACGGGAGGCAGCAGUGGGGAAUAUUGCACAGUGGGCGGAAGCCUGAUGCAGCAACGCCGCGUUCGGGAUGACGGCCUUCGGGUUGUAAACCGCUUUCGCCUGUGACGAAGCGUGAGUGACGGUAAUGGGUAAAGAAGCACCGGCUAACUACGUG